AUGAACGCUGGCGGCAGGCAUAAUACAUGCAAGUUGAACGGCAGCACAGGUAGCAAUACUGGGUGGCGAGUGGCGCACGGGUGCGUAACACGUAUGCAACCUACCCUAUACAGGCGAAUAACCUUUAGAAAUGAGGGCUAAUACGCCGUAGUAUUACAGAUGGGCAUCUAUUUGUAAUUAAAGAUUUAUCGGUAUAGGAUGGGCAUGCGUCCCAUUAGUUAGUUGGUAAGGUAACGGCUUACCAAGACGAUGAUGGGUAGGGG
RNAcentral lists this ribosomal RNA (263 nucleotides) under uncultured bacterium. RNAcentral's name for it is "partial 16S ribosomal RNA". It matches the Rfam family "Bacterial small subunit ribosomal RNA", at positions 29 to 289 of the family's 1533-position model. The record is from RNAcentral.